RNAcentral lists this long non-coding RNA (1134 nucleotides) under Lupinus angustifolius (narrow-leaved blue lupine). RNAcentral's name for it is "long non-coding RNA (LANG_LNC003148)". The record is from RNAcentral. Lineage: Eukaryota; Viridiplantae; Streptophyta; Magnoliopsida; Fabales; Fabaceae.
CUGCACCUAUACAUUACAUAUUUUUUAUGAUAAUAACUAAUAUUUAGUUUGUGAACAAAUGUCAUUCUAACCACCAAAGAUGACAAUCUAGUCACUUUAUAAAAUAUCCUUAUAGAUGGAUAAAAAAUAAAAAGAUGAGGACGGAGAAAAGACCUUUGCCUAUGUUUCUUUUGGAUCAAUGCCACAAGAUAGGUCAUUCUACAACGAGGAUUACAUAAAUUUCUAAAGCAUCACCUUGAACUUUGCCUUCUUUCUUCCAUUGUUCGAUUACACAAUGAAAGACAACACAAUCCUCCGCAUUUUUUAACUUCAUAGUGACUCCCCUGAAUAUUGUAUCUGGUUCAAAAACAACACCGUUAAAAUGCAUAAGUAUUUGGCAGUAGAUCAAUUAAUUAUACCACAACCAUAUUGCAAUAAUUUACUAUGUAUAACUCACAAGAAAUGAGCAUAUGUUGAAUGGGGCAAAUGAAAACUAUAAAACAUAAAAUGCAAUAAUUCUAUAUGAUAAACGUAUUAUACUCAGACAACAAAAACCCCCACGGUUUUGUGAUUUUCCUUGUUCCAAGUAAAACAGCUCAAUAUAAAAGUGAGACACGACUUUACUAACAUCGUUUAGCUUUAUACCUUUUUACUAACAACAGAGUGUUCUUCUUCCACUAUGCAAACUGAUUGAACAAACCCCAACUCGAAUACCUGAUAUAUAAGUUCAACCAAAAAUGAAGAUAAACCUAAUAUAAAUAAUGCAUCAUUCAGAGACAAGCAUUUAACACGGUUAUCACAAAAACACAUGUUAAUAUCGCUCAAAUAACAUUUCUAAUUAACUAGAAUAACUAAGGAAAGGAGCAAAGUGUAAAAUUAAACCCGUUCGGAGAUCAACAUUGAGGAUAAUCUGAUUCGAUUCCUGAAGAAUUUGAAGGCCGUCGGUGGUGAAGCGAGCUAUCCCCGAGGAAGCCGAAGAAGAACCUAGACAAAGGUCCACGACUGGUGCCAAAUCGAACUCUCUCUACUUCAACUUUUCCUCCAUUACUCUCUCAAGAAAAAAAUUUCAGUUAUGAAUGAAAUUAUGUGUUCAUAUUGAUUAUUUGUAACUUAGACGAAAUACAUGGAAGUAGGGUUUGGGAUAUUAGAAUUGGG